This 3187-nucleotide long non-coding RNA is filed under the name Equus caballus (horse). Its description in RNAcentral is "lncRNA (ENSECAG00000035501.3)". The record is from RNAcentral. Lineage: Eukaryota; Metazoa; Chordata; Mammalia; Perissodactyla; Equidae.
CAUGUUGCUUGGGACAUUCAUGUCCCUGGGAACCUCAGAAUGUGACCUUAUUUAGAAGUAGAGUCUUUGCGGAUAUAUUUGGUUAAGAUGAGGUCAUACUGGAUUAGGGCGGGCCUAAUCAGAGAGAGACAGAGAGAAGAAGCCAUGUGAGGAUGGAGGCAAGAUUGAAGCGAAAGCGAAGUAGCUACAAGCCAAGGAAUGUCAAGGAUUGUCGAGAGCCACCAAAAGCCAGGUGAAAGCUGCUAUUUACGCAAACUUUCCCUGGGGGAGUCCACCUGUAUCCUCUAUGAGAGCAUAAUGACGGGUUUCUGUAAGGAGCACUUGCUGCUUGAUUGUUCAGUCUCUGCCUCAUUCUUUCCAUGGAGUGAUUAGCAGCCAAGCAGCAGGAAAUUCCUGUCUCUCAAAAGAGGCAGAAACAGAAAAGCAGAGAGAAACGGAUACUGACAGAAAGGAGAAACUACCAGAUAGUUCCCCAUCUCUAUCCAACUACUUGGGCUCAACUCUCACUUCAAUCAGCCGCUUAAGGACCGACAGGCUGUGGAAGACUCAGUUAAGUAGAAGAAGGCUUCUGCCAGACCUGUUCCUGUGGGAGUGGAAUCAUUGUGGGACCUGAUGAUUCAACAGUUGAUGAAGAAGCUGAAGCCAGGAGAAGCUAAUUAAAACUUCCAAAUUCCCCUAUAUUCUUUGCACUGCACCAGAGUGAACUUCCAUGGGCACUGAUUACCCAUCAUCUGGAAAGCACUGACAACAAACAACGACCACUGCAACUCUCUAUCCACUCAGAAGCCACAAUUAAACAGCAAGAUCCCUCCUUGGUGGACCUCCUCACAUGAGAGAAACCACAUCGGCUUGUACUGAAUACUACAUGCAAAAAGAACGCUGAAGCAUGAAACAUCAGAAGGCAAUAUCAUGUGCCAGUGCUGUACCAAGCCAUAGCGAAGCCUAAGGCAGAAGGAGAAGCCCAUCCUUCACUGGGAAGACACCAUCCCAAUAAAAUUCAUACACAGAAAUGAUGAUGAUGACACUGAUAGUACCUACUAUUUAUUGAAUGCUACCACUGACAUGUUAUCUACUCAAUGCUUGUUAUGAGCCAGAUGAUAAAACUGACACUCUCAGAUGGAAAUAAUUUGUAAGAAGUUUCACAGCUGGUGAAUGAUUGAGCUGAGAUUGUCUCCUAUCUGACUCUUGAGUGCAUUUCCUUUAUUAUUCCAGUUGUGCCAACUAUGUCUUAAAAUCAUGGACUGUCAGACUAAAUCAAAAGAAUAACAUUAUUUAAAGUGUACACAACUGUAAAUAACCACUUUCUGAGUCCCCUGCCUGAUGCAACUUGGAAAUGCUAUCAAUAAAGCCUGAAGAAUGGGUUUUCAAUUGGUAGCAAUGACACUUUAAUGGAGUCUAGAAAUUUAGUACUUAACCUAUGGCUCAGUUUUGAAAUGUCCUCUUGCCUGACCUGAAGAGAAUUGUCUCCUGCAUCCCCGCUCCACCACCUCCAUCCCCAUUCCAUCUCUAAGGGUGGCCUAAGAAGCCAGGUCUGGGUGGUACUGCUGUAGGAAAGGAUCACGUAGCACGUGAGUAAAGGAUGUCAGAAAAGGUAGGGGAUGAAUAAAGGGGAGUUCUAAAGAAUAGAGGCCUCUGGAGACAUAUGGAAAUUCAACCUCUGUCAUGGUUGUGCCCUGCCCUUGAGCAUGGGGAUGGGCAUCAGAGCCCUGCUGUCCCCAUGUCCAUCUAAAAUGUGUCAUUUUGUCUUCGGCAAUGGAGAGCUGAGGCCAUCCAAUGUGAAUAAUGAAGUGUUCCUUAACAAGACAAAGGGUAAGAAAUUCAUCUUCAGUAAUCCCCUCAGAAUAUACUUACUAGCUGAGCUCAGCAUUAUGACAUAUUAUUUACUCACUCAGCUCGUCAAAAACAUUUCUCUGGAAAUGAGCUCCUACUCUGGGUACUAUUGGCUUAUUAGUGAUUCGUACUGUCUCUGUAGUGAUUCGUAAAGUGUGUUCCCUGCCUCAGCAGCAGCCUCAUUAUCUGGAACUUAUUAGAAAUGCAAAUUCUUGGGCUCCACCUCAGCUCUGCUACAGCAGAAUUCUGGGUUUGGGGUUGAGCAAUCUGUUUCAACAAGCCCUGCGGGUGACUUUGAUGCCCACUAAAGUUGGUGACGCACUGCGCUGCUCUAGAGACCAUAAACUUCAGGCAGGAAGUCUGUUUAAUGUAGUCCCAUGAAAUGAAACUCUUUCCCCGUAGCAGUGCAAUGAUGAACUACACUGGAGCUGAAGGCAAAAGUUAAAAUCAAUAAAUUGAUUCUGCCUUUAUUUAAAAUUUAGAUAUUUUGUUCAUCAUAAAAUUUUUGCCUCAGUUUUGAUUUUUAAAAAUAUUCAUCUUGAUUGCUGAGUUUUUGGUGGCCGUCCAAAUUUUGCACCUGGGGUAAAUGCCUCGCUCGCCUACCCUGUCCCUGCCCUUUGAGAAGCCAUUCUAUCAGGGAGAGAGAACAGAGUUUUAGAGCCAUCUACUUAAUGCCACCCUGGAUCAGGAAGGAUGGCCGGACAGUCAUUCUGGAAGCGGCCUUGGACGACUCAGACCUCAGCUACACAGCGUUGGACCUUGUACGCACAAACCUCAGAUGGCCCUCAGCUGUGGGUGGUCCGGGUGGAACUUUUGUAGAAUUGCAAGGUCAGGAGAUAUUUUUUCUGUUUUUUAAAAAAUUAUUUUAUUGGGGUCAUAUUGCCUUACAGCAUUGUGUAAGUUUCAGGGAUUCAAACAAUACUUUCAGAAAUCUUCAUAACAUCCCUCAGACCUCUCCCUCCCUAUGAGCAGUUUCAGCCCAAGGUGAUUACUAAUUUAUUUGCUUCUGAGCGAACCCAUGUUAAUCAGGAUGAACUAACUUGAUUUAAUGUGAGUGUCAUGUGUGCCCAUGGUUACUUUCAUUUUCUCUUGCAGUCAGGGCUGCUUAAUUACUGAACUGUGACAAGAGGGAGGUAAUUCAUGCCGCCAGCCUGGAACUCAUCUCUACCUUUAGUUUUGUCUACAAGAGGACAGAGCUGCCAAGGAGAGGGCCUGACACCCCAGUGUUCAUUAAACCCAUCACCUUCCUCCGUCUUGCUUCUUUUCACUCCUCUUUCAUUCCAAACAGCAGGAGCAAAAAGAGUACAAAAGCUGUGCAUCUAAAAAUUAUAAUUUAAUUAAAUGAACUGAAUGACUC